ACUCAUCUUCUAUCAACCCGAGAGGCAGGAGAGAAGUGAAGAAGUGGUGAAAACAAGCAUUUAAAUCACUGAAUUAAUGAAAUUAUAAAUGAACAAGAACAGAAAAGGACACAAAAGGAUGGCUGCUACCAAGAAUCCAUAGAUCUACAGACUGGCCAAAGGGAGUUUUCUUUACUCUUCUCUUAAAUCUUUAAACAUGGUAUUUCACCAGCACACAACGCUGCAGAGGACUUGCUGAAUUUAGGGCCUGUCCCGAACCCCACAGGUGCAGUCUAUACGCACUACUUGUCUAUUUACAUGAAGGUGUGGAGAACAUCUGUGACCUGAUGGGACACAUUUACGACUUUAUUAACACAUUGAGAUUUUCAACACUUUACACUUUAAAAUAAGCUUAGAAACGUCUGUUCAGUCUGUGACAGACAACACAAUUUAAUAGUGAUUAACACAAUUUAAUAGUGAUAAAGAGCAGUUACAAUUGUUUCAUGAAAUAUACAGUCAUCAUUUUAUCACUAAAUUAUAAUCGCUAAUUAAUUAAACAGACUGGAAUGCCUCUCGUUGAUUUCAGGGUACGCAAACUCCUGAAUAUGAGGAAUGAUGGGAUGCACUCGGUCUCAGACAUCACAGUGAGAGAAGCAGUGUGUGUCAAGGCAGUCUU
Long non-coding RNA from Sinocyclocheilus grahami, 655 nucleotides. RefSeq lists it as uncharacterized. The transcript is spliced from 3 exons. The record is from RefSeq and is a predicted model, not a curated record. Lineage: Eukaryota; Metazoa; Chordata; Actinopteri; Cypriniformes; Cyprinidae.